UGGGGAAUUUUGGACAAUGGGCGCAAGCCUGAUCCAGCCAUGCCGCGUGCGGGAAGAAGGCCUUCGGGUUGUAAACCGCUUUUGUCAGGGAAGAAAUCUUCUGAGUUAAUACCUCGGGGAGGAUGACGGUACCUGAAGAAUAAGCACCGGCUAACCACGUGCCAGCAGCCGCGGUAAUACGUAGGGUGCAAGCGUUAAUCGGAAUUACUGGGCGUAAAUGCGUGCGCAGGCGGUUUUGUAAGACAGAGGUGAAAUCCCCGGGCUCAACCUGGGAACUGCCUUUGUGACUGCAAGGCUUGAGUGCGGCAGAGGGGGAUGGAAUUCCGCGUGUAGCAGUGAAAUGCGUAGAUAUGCGGAGGAACACCGAUGGCGAAGGCAAUCCCCUGGGCCUGCACUGACGCUCAUGCNCGAAAGCGUGGGGAGCAAACAGGAUUAGAU
Molecule: ribosomal RNA, 438 nt
Filed under: uncultured bacterium
Lineage: Bacteria
Description: partial 16S ribosomal RNA
Rfam family: Bacterial small subunit ribosomal RNA
Source: RNAcentral